This 618-nucleotide ribosomal RNA is filed under the name uncultured bacterium. Its description in RNAcentral is "bacterial SSU rRNA". It matches the Rfam family "Bacterial small subunit ribosomal RNA", at positions 338 to 948 of the family's 1533-position model. The record is from RNAcentral.
CCUACGGGAGGCAGCAGUGGGGAAUUUUGGACAAUGGGCGCAAGCCUGAUCCAGCAAUGCCGCGUGAGUGAAGAAGGCCUUCGGGUUGUAAAGCUCUUUUGUCAGGGAAGAAACGGUGAAGGCUAAUAUCCUUUGCUAAUGACGGUACCUGAAGAAUAAGCACCGGCUAACUACGUGCCAGCAGCCGCGGUAAUACGUAGGGUGCAAGCGUUAAUCGGAAUUACUGGGCGUAAAGCGUGCGCAGGCGGUUUUGUAAGUUUGUCGUGAAAUCCCCGGGCUCAACCUGGGAAUGGCGAUGAAGACUGCAAGGCUAGAAUCUGGCAGAGGGGGGUAGAAUUCCACGUGUAGCAGUGAAAUGCGUAGAGAUGUGGAGGAACACCGAUGGCGAAGGCAGCCCCCUGGGUCAAGAUUGACGCUCAUGCACGAAAGCGUGGGGAGCAAACAGGAUUAGAUACCCUGGUAGUCCACGCCCUAAACGAUGUCUACUAGUUGUCGGGUUUUAAUUAACUUGGUAACGCAGCUAACGCGUGAAGUAGACCGCCUGGGGAGUACGGUCGCAAGNUUAAAACUCAAAUGAAUUGACCGGNUGAGAGNGCGAGACGACGACGAGGGAGGAGG